CCUUCUAUAACUUAGUGGUUAGAGUAUUGCUUUCACACAACGGGAGUCAUUGGUUCAAAUCCAAUAGUAGGU
This 72-nucleotide transfer RNA is filed under the name Cucumis sativus (cucumber). It matches the Rfam family "tRNA". Rfam says of the family: Transfer RNA (tRNA) molecules are approximately 80 nucleotides in length. The record is from Rfam by way of RNAcentral. Lineage: Eukaryota; Viridiplantae; Streptophyta; Magnoliopsida; Cucurbitales; Cucurbitaceae.